RNAcentral lists this transfer RNA (72 nucleotides) under Marmota monax (woodchuck). It matches the Rfam family "tRNA". From Rfam's summary of the family: Transfer RNA (tRNA) molecules are approximately 80 nucleotides in length. Their secondary structure includes four short double-helical elements and three loops (D, anti-codon, and T loops). Further hydrogen bonds mediate the characteristic L-shaped molecular structure. tRNAs have two regions of fundamental functional importance: the anti-codon, which is responsible for specific mRNA codon recognition, and the 3' end, to which the tRNAs corresponding amino acid is attached (by aminoacyl-tRNA synthetases). tRNAs cope with the degeneracy of the genetic code in two manners: having more than one tRNA (with a specific anti-codon) for a particular amino acid; and 'wobble' base-pairing, i.e. permitting non-standard base-pairing at the 3rd anti-codon position. Lineage: Eukaryota; Metazoa; Chordata; Mammalia; Rodentia; Sciuridae. The record is from Rfam by way of RNAcentral.
UGCAGUGUGGCUCAGUGGCAGAGUGCUCACCUAGCAUGUGCGAGGCCCUGAGUUCAAUCCUCAGCACCACAU